RNAcentral lists this ribosomal RNA (486 nucleotides) under uncultured bacterium. RNAcentral describes it as "bacterial SSU rRNA". It matches the Rfam family "Bacterial small subunit ribosomal RNA", at positions 30 to 507 of the family's 1533-position model. The record is from RNAcentral.
AUUGAACGCUGGCGGCAUGCCUUACACAUGCAAGUCGAACGGUAACAGCACUUCGGUGGCUGACGAGUGGCGAACGGGUGAGUAAUACAUCGGAACGUGCCCGAGAGUGGGGGAUAACGCAGCGAAAGCUGUGCUAAUACCGCAUACGAUCUACGGAUGAAAGCAGGGGGACCGCAAGGCCUUGCGCUCAUGGAGCGGCCGAUGGCAGAUUAGGUAGUUGGUGGGAUAAAAGCUUACCAAGCCGACGAUCUGUAGCUGGGUCUGAGAGGACGACCCAGCCACACUGGGACUGAGACACGGCCCAGACUCCUACGGGAGGCAGCAGUGGGGAAUUUUGGACAAUGGGCGAAAGCCUGAUCCAGCCAUGCCGCGUGCAGGAUGAAGGCCUUCGGGUUGUAAACUGCUUUUGUACGGAAACGAAAAGGUCUUUUCUAAUAAAGAAGACUCAUGACGGUACCGUAAGAAUAAGCACCGGCUAACUACGUG